UAAAAAUUUAUUAUAGUUUGAAAAAUUUAUUUAAAGUUUAUUUUACAUAUAAAUUUUAGUGUUAAUUUUAAUUUAUUUUAAUAAUAAAUUAUUAUUGAUAAUUAGUAAUUAAUAUUAAAAUAUUUAAGAAAUUAAUAUUUAGUAAUAUUUAAAUUAAUAACUAAUUUUGUGCCAGCAGUUGCGGUUAAACAAAAAUUAAAUUAAAUUUUAUUAGUAAUUAAUUAAUAAAAUUUAAUAUAAUUUAAAUUUUAAAUUAUUAGGUGAAAUUUUAAUUUAAUAAAAAAUUAUAUAAAAUUUAUGAUUUAAUAAAUUUUUUUUAAAAACUAGGAUUAGAUACCCUAUUAUUAAAAAUUUAAAUUAAAAUACUAAAAUAGUAAAUAAUUAUUUAUUGAAACUUAAAUAAUUUGGCGGUAUUUUAGUUCAUUUAGAGGAAUCUGUUUAAUAAUUGAUAAUCCACGAAUAAAUUUACUUAAUUUACAAUUUUGUAUAUCGUUGUUAAAAAAAUAUUUUUUAAUAAAAAUAAUAUUUAAAAAUUAAUAAUAAAAUUAAAUCAGAUCAAGAUGCAGAUUAUAAUUAAGAAUAUAAUGGAUUACAAUAAAUUUAUUUAAAUGAAUAUUAAUUUGAAAAAAUUAAUUGAAAUUGGAUUUAAAUGUAAUUUUAUUUAGUUUAAUAAAAUGAUUUUAAAUUGAAAUAUGUACAUAUUGCCCGUCGCUUUCAUAUAUUAAUAAGUUGGAAUAAGUCGUAACAAAGUAGAGGUACUGGAAAGUGUUUCUAGAAAGAC
RNAcentral lists this non-coding RNA (781 nucleotides) under Pandesma quenavadi. Lineage: Eukaryota; Metazoa; Arthropoda; Insecta; Lepidoptera; Erebidae. The record is from RNAcentral.